RNAcentral lists this small RNA (184 nucleotides) under Arabidopsis thaliana (thale cress). Its description in RNAcentral is "ATSL012430". The record is from RNAcentral. Lineage: Eukaryota; Viridiplantae; Streptophyta; Magnoliopsida; Brassicales; Brassicaceae.
UGAAAUCUGGAAAACUCCCUAGGUCGAAGGAGGAGCGGCGGAUCCAUUGCUGUUGAGGAGAGAAGACGACGUCAUCAUCUUCUGAAACUCUUCGAAAUUAACAUUCCCAUCGCCGUCAGCAUCCACAGGUCCGAUCAUACGAGUACAGUCUUCAACAGAGCAAGACAUCCCGAGACGGUUAAGC